CCCAUAACAAAUAAUGGCUAAAAUACAAAAAACUAAAAUAUCUACUACAUAAUUAUUCAUUAUCUUUACAAUUAACCAUCUAAAGCUACCACAGUUCUUCAAUCAAAGUAUAUAUCUACAAAUAUAGAGAGUACACUUCAUAAUUUCGUCCCUUGUCUUCUGUAAAUGUAGCACAGAAAUUUGAUACCCAAUAUUGUAAAGCAAGUCGUAGAAGCAGUCUUCCUGCACAUAUUUAAAAAUAAUAACAAAUCAAAAAAAUGAAGCAAAUAGAUCACCAGAGGCACUUAGUGCCAAAAUCAAUACACAAAGACAAUAGAGUUGCUACGUGGUACUAAAGACAAAUAGACAAUCACAAUAUCAUUUGCUACAAAUCCAAAUAGAAAAAAAACCUUCAGUGUGACUAUAUGAUUGCUUUGUUACAAGAAAAAAUUGGAAUAUUAAUCGGCCAUUUCAUGAAUUAAUUUCAGUAAGCAUAGUGGUAAACAUAUUUUCUGUUACAAGACUUGUAGAUUAUUAUUAUAUGUUGACCUCAAGUCAGAAUUCAGUCACAUUCAACAACCACAAGCAUCGCACAAUCUUAAAUACCAUUACACAAUCUUAAAUAACAAUGUUUAGAUUUCUAUAUAGAAAGGACAAUAAUUAUAGAAAAGUUGAGGCUAUUAGUCAAUGUGAAAAAACUUUUCUUUAGACGACAAAUUUCUAUACAGUAUAUGCCCCAAAGAUGCUAGCUAUAAUCACAGACAUCAUAUAUUUAUUUACCAAGAAUUCAACAUGUUGCAGCAGACAUUGGAAAGACACAUUUAUUAAUAACUUGGGAAUUUUUAAGUGGUAAGGGCAGAACAUACUCAGGUCAGCGAGAUAAGUUCAUCCCCUUCAUAAUUGGGUCCUACAAGAAUAGUCCCUGAUAAAGAAUAGUCCCUGAGGGUUGGUAUGGUCACAUCUUAAAUGUCAACCAUUUCUCAUUUUGAUCAUGAAACCAUCAGAACUGCUCUUCACCUCAACUAUAUUGAAAAACAGAUGAAACACAUAAAUAGAAUAUAUGUUAUUUUGCAUAUACUUCAUAUGUUAAAUCACACAGAAAAAUUAAAAACUACCAAAAUUAUAGUAUAUUACUUGCAACAUCCAGUUGUGAUAUUUUAAGUAAAAUAUUAGCAAAUAUAUGAAAAACUUUAACUAUUGUAAAAUGAAAAUGAAACUGACUUUACAAAAAUGAGACAUCUAUUUCGAUGCCAAAAAUUAGUCUGAAAAUUUGUUUCUAUUAACCAAUCUUAUAGUAUUUUAACAACUAGCUUGCAUAAAGAGGAAAUCAAAAGAAUAAAUUUUCAUGUUUUAAAUCCAUCUUUUUCCCACAAAAGUAAAUCAACAAUAAAACUAUGCUCUCAAACUGCUGCAAAUAUUUUAAUUAACCUCAUCAUCAUUCGUGCUCUCUGCAAUUCUCUGAACUACAGGGAGAGAAUGUUUGCACUUCUCCAACAUGCUCACUAUAAAAUCUUCUUGCAAUUUACACAUGAAUUCGUAUUGAUUGCUAUUAUAUUAUUAAUAAGUACUCCUUACUUUCCACGAAGCUAGUAAAACACAAUAUACCAUUCACUGAAGCAUAAUGUAUUAAUAGGAUGCAUUGAUUAAUGGAGGGAAGGGAGGACCACAGGAAGAGUAGAGGACUGAAGUCUGAAACUUGUCUACCUUUCCUGAAGACCACCAAUUUCUUGUUCAAUUUGAGUGACUAAACAAUAAAUAUGGUUGACACAUCAAUGCAUAAUCACUCUCUAACCUGGUUAUAGCACAAGUUAGAACAAGUACUCCACUUUUCAUUGCCAAAAAUAUUUCCCAUCAUUGCAUUCAAUUUAAUAAGAGGAUGGGUUAUCUUUAAAAAGCAUGCAAAAAUACUUAAAAAAUGAUAUCUUGUGAAAAGCAUUUAUGAGCUGAAGAUUAAGACUACAUACCAUACAUGCGAAUCAUAGCCGUUGUUGUGAUUAUCACCCAUUACAAAAAUUGAGUUUUCUAGUACACGUUGCACUAUAGUAUAAAAGUAUCAGUUUCAUAAUCAAUAUUGGUUGGCCAGUAACAAUUCAUUCCUAUAAAAAUCAUCAACAUCAUGCUUCCACCGUUGCUUGCCCUUUUCCAACAUACAUAGGCUUAAAUCCCAAGUCACUUAUAAUUUAAAAAGUUUCACUACAAAAAAGUGGUGAUUUUGCAAUAAACAGUUUUCGUUGCUAAAAGUGCGAAAUUUCGUUGUCAUAGGUCAUUUGCAAUAAUUUUUCGAUCGUUGGACCAUUAGCAAAUAUUAAUAUAAUUAUAAAUUGAAUUUUACUAUAAUUUAGCAUUCACUUCAAGUAGGUGAACCUCUCAAGCGAGAGAACCUAAACCCCUACAGCCAAAACGGCAGAGAUAGCAUAAACUUCAACAUGUGCAUUUUGAACUAUGUUUGCUUUAUGUGGUUGUGCUUUGUUUUGUAUAUUUUCAUAUGUUUCAAUUCUUUUAUUUAAUUUUAUUUAUUGAGUUCAUUUCUUUUUAUUGGUGUUAUGUUUUUACUUUUCUCCUUCCCCAUUUUACUUCUACAAUUACAUAGGGAUUCAUUUUGAUUCUAUCCCAACUGCUUUGAAACAAAAGGCGUUGAGUUGAGGCAGUACACGGCAAACAAAGAAGCCACACAAAAUAAAAUUAGAAAAUAUAAAAAAAUUAAGUAAAGCAGUAGUUAGGGAAGCAAAUAUACCCCGAUAGGAGAUUUGGUAGCCUGACUUUCAUACGAUUACAAAUCUGCUGAACAAGGGUCUCCACCAAAGCUAAUAAAUCACCAAGGUUUCAACCAAUUUUAAUGGAGGAGCUAAAUUGUAAUUAAAAAUUUUAAAAAUCAAAACGAGGACAAGGAGUUGUACUAAAUCAAAAAUAGGUAACAUUGAACAACAGCAACAAACUAUAUCUAUAUUCCAUUGCAGAAUAUAACAGGUAAGAAUAUAUCUUUAAUUAAAAUUAAGAUAACAUUGUUAUAAUUUUAACAUAAUUAUUUAAAAUUAGUUUUGUUAUUUAUUAAUCAGAAGGGCAACAAAUAGGGAAGGGGGUUAACCAAUAAUUAAUAUGAAUAUAUUACAUGAGAGCACGCAAGCACUGGAAAAGAAAGCAACCUUUGUUUGAUGUACACAUCGAUCACAAGAAUUGGAAGAAGCAGCAACAACAGUUGCAGAGGAGAUCAUAAGCAAGAAGCGAGACAAAAUAAAGAAUGUCAUUUUGUAUAUAAUUCGAUUAGGAUCGAGAGAGAUCAAUGUUUGAUAUAUAUAUAUAUAUAUAUAUAUAUAUAUAUAUAAUUACAGGGCUGGAAAGAGAGAGAGUAUAGGCAAUGCGAUGGAAGAGAGGAGGGUGAAGUAGUACAUGUUAUGUAUAGCUAGCUAGCUAGCAAAUGGCAUUUGUAAAAGUAAAUGACAAUUAAGGAAAGAGAUAUGCAUUUACGUGUAAACGCAGCAGGGCAAAAGCAUAACAUAGCAUAACAUAACAAAGCAUAUCAUCAUACAGGAGGAAAGUUGUAGUUGUCCCUCACUCACUCACUAACUACUUUGCCUUGACGCUAACAGUUGUUCCAAUACAAUACAUCCAUUUAGUAAAAACAUAUCAUAAUUCAUCAUUCACUUGGAAGGCAGUAAACUAAUGUGACAUUUGCCAACAACUAGACGUAGCUCAUGCAUUCUUUCAAAUAAAUGUGGUCGGGAAGCAGAUUAGCAAUGACAUUUUCAAGAAUAUUGUGACUUUGUAUAUAUACUUUUUCCUUUUGAAGAGCUCCAAGAUGUGUCUAGUAUUCCGUAAGCUUUCUAAGCGAUAAAUAAUGUUCCUCCAGAUCAAUUGAACUCCUAACACUGACAAGAUGACUAUAUCCAGAAAUCUCCACACUGAUCUUAUCAAUUUGAGCCUUCAUGUCUGCAAAUUGGUUUAUUCUCUCCUCUUUCUUUAGUUUCAAAUCUCCCACCACAUGUGUGACUAGAGUGAGUUGCCCUUUCAAUGUUUUUGCUUUCUUCUCUUAUCGGAUUUAUGAAUUUUAUAAUACAUGCUUUUAAAAAAGAAAUAUUAAAUAAAAUAAAGAAUUUUGACCAAAACUUUGAUUGAGAUCUUGAAUGUUAAUGAAAUUGUUGAAAUCUCGCUCUACCUCCUAUUUUAGAAUUAUUUUGUUACAGAGGAAAAUAGAAAAUAAGAAAGUGAUGCCCGCCUGAUUACAAACUGAUAACAUUUUAAGCAAUGAUAAAAAGAAGAUACUUUCCAAGCUUCUACAUAUCUGCUUUUCAUUAAGAUAUUCUCAAGUAGAUUAUAAAGUGGCAGUAAGCUUCAUGGAUAUUACUUAUAAAUGCAGGUUAUCUUGUAGAUUAUAAAAUGGCAAUAAGCUUCAUGGGUAUUCAUCAUCAAAGGCCUCUACUCAGUGUAUGUUGACCCGACUCUUAAAAGACUGUUUCUUAAAUGCUCUUCCAGUGUUGAUUCUAAUAAAUGCUCAAACAUGAUCAAUUUAUCUUCCCACUUAUGCCCCCUCCCAGCAACAUGAUAAAACUCAAUUACAUAAAUCCUGAAUAACAAAAUAAUUGAUAAAAAAACAACCAAUAUGCAGCCCAUAGAAAGUCUAUAAUUAACACUAAGGUAUAAGCAUUUCCCAUUUAUCAUGUUAAACUAGGAUUGGUUUAGCAAAAAAAAAAAGAGUAACAAUAACUUACGACUAAAGUAUAAAACCCUCUUGAGUUUCGUAUCUCUGAGAAAUUACAAUCAAUUUUAAAGAGUGAUUCUUAGUAUGUGUCAUCCAAACAGAAAAUACUCUUAGAGCGCGUUUGUUUCAAGGAAAAUGUUUUCUGCAUUUCAGACAAUUGGAAUAACUGUAAAAAUUGGUAAUUGUUUUGCAGGUCAAUGCACAAGUUAGUUUUCCGAAAAAAUGAUGUGUACUCUUCAACUACACAAGUCAUUUUCCCUGAAAAUCAUUUCUUAGAAACAAGCAGACCUUCAAAAUUUGGAGAAAGUUGAGAAUACAUAAUAGUCCUAAAAUAAGAGUCCAUUAUCAAAAUCAAUGUAAAGAAUUUAUGAAAAAAAACUCACUUUUUAAGGGUGGCAGUAUGAUUCACAUAUUCAAUUACAUUCACAAUUCACAAAUGCAGAUUACCAAAUAAUAAAUAAAAAUCAAAUGCUUGAUAUAAUGAUACAUUAAAACAGGGAACAAACUGAAAAUCAUUCAAUAACUCCAAAAAUUCAGUAAAAAUUUAUUUUUUAAAAUAAUAAUAAUUUGAGAAAUCAGUUUUGUACCAAAAUUCUUAAUAAUAACAAGUUCGACGAUUUUGAAAAGGGAUGAGCUAGGGAGUCGUUGAACCAAUGACACGUCGCCUAAUUAAAACUUAUCAUAACAAGCUUAUCAGAAUAAUUAAAACUAGAAGCUAUCUACUAAUUGAGAAGGAAUAAAAUCAAAAUAAAAUGAUGGGAAAAUGAAAAUUUACAUGGUUCUGACAAUAAAACAAUGUAAAAUGCCAACCUGUAUUAAAUUAGCAAUAAAAGCAAGGGGGUAAGAGAGAUCUAGUUUGAGUAGACAUUUUAUCAAACACGUUGUGAGCUUCCCUAAUUGCUACCAAACAAGAUAUAUAAUAAAUUACACACAGGUAGGUACUAAUAAUAUUAGGUUUCUUAACAGUAAAUACACAAAAUUAAAAACUAACCUUUACUUUAGGGACACCAAUGGAGGAGGAGGAGGCAACACACUGCCGCCAACACAAACCACUUAUCGACAAGUUAAAAUUUAGGGCUUGUUAGAGGGAGGAGAGAAAUAGAGGAAAUCAAAACAAAAUUAGGGGUAGAUGAGAUAAAUACAUUUUGUUUUUAUAUUUGAUUAAUGUAAAUAUAAAUUGAAAACCUAAAGACUGAAAUUACCUGCUCAAAUAGUUUCAAUAUGCAGAAUUGCUGUCAAGGGUUCCAAUGUGAGAGGGACGGAUGGAUGGAGUGAGAUGAGAGAGAUAUGUAUGGAGUUUGCAGUGGGAGAAAUGUGAGGACAUGCAGACAACAGAGCGAUGAGUUGUGGCUUUCUAUAGGGAGGAGGGGUUUACCGAAGAGGGAGAUGUUUGAUUUGUUAAUUCUUUUCCUUUUGUUGCUUACUGAUAUGUCGAAGACGACGAUUGAAGGAGAUAGGGCGAUUGAGGGAGAUAGGGCUCGACUGAAUGUAUUUUCUAAAUUGAGAGAGUUAAAAUUGAAGGAGAGAAUGGGCGUAAAAAUAAUGGGGGGACAUUUUC
This 6233-nucleotide long non-coding RNA is filed under the name Panax ginseng (ginseng). Its description in RNAcentral is "long non-coding RNA (PGIN_LNC011913)". The record is from RNAcentral. Lineage: Eukaryota; Viridiplantae; Streptophyta; Magnoliopsida; Apiales; Araliaceae.